Cinara cedri is the source of this 279-nucleotide non-coding RNA. The record is from the annotation of a GenBank genome assembly. Lineage: Eukaryota; Metazoa; Arthropoda; Insecta; Hemiptera; Aphididae.
CAUGGUUUUUAAAGGAAAAGGGUAUUUUUUAGUUGUACACACUCUUACAGAUUAAUCCAGUUUUAUGAAAUUUUGUGUAUGCAUAUUUUUAAUAUCGAGAAUGUGCUUUUUGGGAAUUUGUCUUUAAAACUCCUCCCCCAAUCAUUUAUAUUUUCAAACUACAGACAUUUUUCAUUUUACAUUAAAUUUUUUGGAGUACAGUGAAAAUGUUUUAAACCUCAUACCUUAAAAGAUGAAUAUUUUUCACCCGGUGUACUAUAGUGGUACUAUUUGAACCAU